RNAcentral lists this ribosomal RNA (890 nucleotides) under uncultured bacterium. RNAcentral's name for it is "bacterial SSU rRNA". It matches the Rfam family "Bacterial small subunit ribosomal RNA", at positions 57 to 913 of the family's 1533-position model. The record is from RNAcentral.
GCAAGUCGAGCGAGCGGAACCAACAGAUUUACUUCGGUAAUGACGUUGGGACAGCGAGCGGCGGAUGGGUGAGUAACACGUGGGGAACCUGCCCCUAAGUCUGGGAUACCAUUUGGAAACAGGUGCUAAUACCGGAUAAUAAAGCGGAUCGCAUGAUCAGCUUUUGAAAGGCGGCGUAAGCUGUCGCUAAGGGAUGGCCCCGCGGUGCAUUAGCUAGUUGGUAAGGUAACGGCUUACCAAGGCGACGAUGCAUAGCCGAGUUGAGAGACUGAUCGGCCACAUUGGGACUGAGACACGGCCCAAACUCCUACGGGAGGCAGCAGUAGGGAAUCUUCCACAAUGGACGCAAGUCUGAUGGAGCAACGCCGCGUGAGUGAAGAAGGUUUUCGGAUCGUAAAGCUCUGUUGUUGGUGAAGAAGGAUAGAGGUAGUAACUGGCCUUUAUUUGACGGUAAUCAACCAGAAAGUCACGGCUAACUACGUGCCAGCAGCCGCGGUAAUACGUAGGUGGCAAGCGUUGUCCGGAUUUAUUGGGCGUAAAGCGAGCGCAGGCGGAAAAAUAAGUCUAAUGUGAAAGCCCUCGGCUUAACCGAGGAACUGCAUCGGAAACUGUUUUUCUUGAGUGCAGAAGAGGAGAGUGGAACUCCAUGUGUAGCGGUGGAAUGCGUAGAUAUAUGGAAGAACACCAGUGGCGAAGGCGGCUCUCUGGUCUGCAACUGACGCUGAGGCUCGAAAGCAUGGGUAGCGAACAGGAUUAGAUACCCUGGUAGUCCAUGCCGUAAACGAUGAGUGCUAAGUGUUGGGAGGUUUCCGCCUCUCAGUGCUGCAGCUAACGCAUUAAGCACUCCGCCUGGGGAGUACGACCGCAAGGUUGAAACUCAAAGGAAUUGA